AUAUUGGUCAAUGGGCGAGAGCCUGAACCAGCCAAGUAGCGUGAAGGAUGAAGGUCCUACGGAUUGUAAACUUCUUUUAUACGGGAAUAAAGUUUCCUACGUGUAGGAUUUUGUAUGUACCGUAUGAAUAAGCAUCGGCUAACUCCGUGCCAGCAGCCGCGGUAAUACGGAGGAUGCGAGCGUUAUCCGGAUUUAUUGGGUUUAAAGGGAGCGCAGACGGGAGAUUAAGUCAGUUGUGAAAGUUUGCGGCUCAACCGUAAAAUUGCAGUUGAUACCGGUUUCCUUGAGUGCAGUUGAGGCAGGCGGAAUUCGUGGUGUAGCGGUGAAAUGCUUAGAUAUCACGAAGAACCCCGAUUGCGAAGGCAGCUUGCUAAACUGUAACUGACGUUCAUGCUCGAAAGUGUGGGUAUCAAACAGG
RNAcentral lists this ribosomal RNA (418 nucleotides) under uncultured bacterium. RNAcentral describes it as "bacterial SSU rRNA". It matches the Rfam family "Bacterial small subunit ribosomal RNA", at positions 361 to 776 of the family's 1533-position model. The record is from RNAcentral.